This 388-nucleotide ribosomal RNA is filed under the name uncultured bacterium. Its description in RNAcentral is "partial 16S ribosomal RNA". It matches the Rfam family "Bacterial small subunit ribosomal RNA", at positions 523 to 918 of the family's 1533-position model. The record is from RNAcentral.
AUGCGUAGGGGGCAAGCGAUAUCCGGAAUUAUUGGGCGUAAAGGGUGCGUCGACGGCAAUAAAAGUUUCUUGUCAAAUAUCUUGGCUCAACCAAGUAACGAAAGAAAUACUGUAUAGCUAGAGUAUAGGAGAGGUAAGUGGGACUACAUGUGUAGCGGUAAAAUGCGUAAAUAUAUGGAAGAACACCAGUGGCGAAAGCGGCUUACUAGCCUGAUACUGACGUUGAGGCACGAAAGCGUGGGGAGCAAACAGGAUUAGAUACCCUGGUAGUCCACGCCCUAAACGAUGAGUACUAAGUGCUGGAGCAAUUCAGCGCUGAAGUUAACGCAUUAAGUACUCCGCCUGAGUAGUACGUACGCAAGUAUGAAACUUAAAGGAAUUGACGGGG